RNAcentral lists this ribosomal RNA (133 nucleotides) under uncultured bacterium. RNAcentral describes it as "partial 16S ribosomal RNA". The record is from RNAcentral.
GGGUACCGUCAGACCACGAGGCUGUUUACCCACGGCGGUUCGUCCCCUCUGACAGAGCUUUACACCCCGAAAGGCGUCCUCACUCACGCGGCGUUGCUGCGUCAGGCUUUCGCCCAUUGCGCAAAAUUCCCCA